RNAcentral lists this transfer RNA (137 nucleotides) under Klebsiella pneumoniae. RNAcentral's name for it is "tRNA-OTHER". Lineage: Bacteria; Pseudomonadati; Pseudomonadota; Gammaproteobacteria; Enterobacterales; Enterobacteriaceae. The record is from RNAcentral.
GAAAAGGUUGUGUGUGAAAUUUGAGGUAUUUUCUCAAAAAAAUAGAUAACCAUCUGUUUUUAAAGAAAAGCAGUCCGGUCUCGAAAACCGGAGUAGGGGCAACUCUACCGGGGGUUCAAAUCCCCCUCUCUCCGCCA